AUUGAACGCUGGCGGCAUGCCUUACACAUGCAAGUCGAACGGCAGCACGGGAGCAAUCCUGGUGGCGAGUGGCGAACGGGUGAGUAAUGUAUCGGAACGUGCCCAGUCGUGGGGGAUAACGUAGCGAAAGCUACGCUAAUACCGCAUACGAUCUGUGGAUGAAAGCGGGGGACCGUAAGGCCUCGCGCGAUUGGAGCGGCCGAUAUCAGAUUAGGUAGUUGGUGGGGUAAAGGCCUACCAAGCCGACGAUCUGUAGCUGGUCUGAGAGGACGGCCAGCCUCACUGGGACGGAGACACGGCCCAGACUCCUACGGGAGGCAUCAGUGGGGAAUUGUGGACAAUGGGCGCAAGCCUGAUCCAGGAAUGCCGCGUGCAGGAUGAAGGCCUUCGGGUUGUAAACUGCUUUUGUACGGAGCGAAAAGGCUCUCUCUAAUACAGGGGGCUCAUGACGGUACCGUAAGAAUAAGCACCGGCUAACUACGUGCCAGCCGCCGCCGUAA
This 500-nucleotide ribosomal RNA is filed under the name uncultured bacterium. RNAcentral's name for it is "partial 16S ribosomal RNA". It matches the Rfam family "Bacterial small subunit ribosomal RNA", at positions 29 to 523 of the family's 1533-position model. The record is from RNAcentral.